This is a long non-coding RNA of Sapajus apella (tufted capuchin), 903 nucleotides long. RefSeq lists it as uncharacterized. The record is from RefSeq and is a predicted model, not a curated record. The transcript is spliced from 2 exons. Lineage: Eukaryota; Metazoa; Chordata; Mammalia; Primates; Cebidae.
CAAAGUGCAGGGAUCAUAGGUAUGCGCCACCUCACCUGGCCUAUACUUUAAUUCGCUUUCAGCAAUGAAAAGAAAUGGGCCAGUUUAAAGAUGUUGUGAAAUACAAAAAUAGGGAUGGGGCUGCAUGACUGAUGGACACCAUUUUACCUUUUUCUUAGGAUAUCACAUUAAAGACCCUCAAACAAUAACAUACCCUAAAAUGGCUUGGUGUCAUCUUCUACAAAAAGUCAUUCUCCAGCUGGGAUUGAGAACAAGGGGGAGUUGGCCAUAGAGCCAGGUGACCAAAGAUGGGAGACAAAGGGUGGGCUGUGAUUCCCAGAGCUCCAAGCCUUAUCCUGUCACACCAACUAUUACUGAUGAACAGGCGAGUAGAAACUACUGUAGAGCUUUACAACUCCAAAAAUAAUUUCUUUCCUUUGGUUUCAUUACAAUUUAGGGAUUUCCAUGGGGAUGACGCACACCUGUGGAACUCAUCCACCAUGUGCCCAUAAGGGGAAGAUGGGUGUAAGCUCUGUUGAUGCAUUAAAUUCGAUUACCCACGAGCAGUGCUUAGACCACAUUUGCUUGUCAACUGCCAAAAUGCCUUCUCUAAAUUACUCUGUAAUGUACCACCCUCUGUUCUCCUUAAACAUCAGUACACAAAGUCACUCAGUGAAGGGAUUUUCGUAUCUUUUACAAAUCUAUGAAGGACAUCAUCCACUCUUGGUGUUUCUCAUAUAAGAAGCCGUCUUAUAAAAGGAUCCAUUUCUUAAGUUCUUCUCUGAAUUUAGAGCCAAAGCAACAAUCUUAUUCCCCUGAAGAAUUAUGUACUUUUUAUGGUCAUUUAAAUACAAAAAUCUUUGACAGACAGGAAGCUUGGGUACUCUCUACUUGCUUCCUUAGGGAUAAAUGGGGACAUAUAAA